UCAAAUGACAACUAAAAAACAAAUAAAGUAAAUGGGAGAAAUUACUUAAAUUUAAAAGUAAAGUAAAUUAUUUAACAAGGCACUCCAAUAUACAGAGGAAGAGCGUCAGAUACGUAAACAAAUAUUAGCACAUUACUCAAAGGUAAUGCUGCUUGUAAAUCCUACCAAAGCUGUUACUGUACCAUAUACAAUUUGGAAUAUCAUGACAUCACGCGGCUUAUUGCUUAUUGCUUACAGCUGAUUAGGUCUAUUAAAUUAUGCUAUAUGGAGUCAAUGUCGUCACUAAAAUACUAGACCUGUCGGAUUCUGUAUCUGAUGUUUUUUUUCGCAUUUCAUACGAAUUACUAGUGCGAUGGAUGUUAAAAAACUCAUUGAUGAAAUCGAAAUUUAUUUGACAAAAUGUAUGCGAUAAAAAGAAGGAAAUUAUUUUUAAUCCAUUUAAAUGUGGGCUUAAAAUUUCGAAUUUAGAUAAAAAAAAGACUUAAAUAGAAAGUAUUAUUAACGGGAAGUUUAACCAAAUAUGCACCUAUCCAAGAAGAAAUGUUUAUGCAAGGCGAAUAUAUGUUACAACCUCUCUAAUGACAAAUGAAGAGUGAUUGUGAAAAUAAAAAAGAACAAUUUAAUUUACAAAGGAAAAAUGUACCUAUAUUUGUAUUUUAAAAUUUAUAUACAAUAUAAGAAUAUUUAUGUCCCAUUUAGAUAUAACUGAACGACAUUACUGAGGAUAUUUUCUUAAUAAAAUAGAAUACUAGAACAAGGAAAGUCACCAAUGUUGCAAAUUUUAUU
Molecule: long non-coding RNA, 786 nt
Organism: Teleopsis dalmanni
Lineage: Eukaryota; Metazoa; Arthropoda; Insecta; Diptera; Diopsidae
Exons: 2
Source: RefSeq, a predicted model, not a curated record